Long non-coding RNA from Dreissena polymorpha, 1719 nucleotides. RefSeq lists it as uncharacterized. The record is from RefSeq and is a predicted model, not a curated record. Lineage: Eukaryota; Metazoa; Mollusca; Bivalvia; Myida; Dreissenidae. The transcript has 5 exons.
UUUGAACCAUAUCCAACUCAACCUUUUGCUAAAAACUACAAAACUAAAGAGCAACAGCCAAAUUGUAUUACGACUUUUGCGUCUACCUUGGGAAAUCCCUUUCUAUUUGUAUUUCGCGCUUCGUGUCACGUGAUUCACACACAAACAAACAAAAUGGCGGAGGCUUCGAAAUCUACAAUGAGCGUACCAGCCAAAACAGAGGGAGAGAUGAGAAGAAGUAAAUGCGUGAGACAGCCAUCUAAGAGAAUGUUGUUGUAUUCUCAGGACACAGAUUCAGAUUCAAGUCUACAGAAGAGUUAAGGAAAACGUCCUGCCAGAAAGAUCCAGAAAGUUGAUACAUUAGCAACAAUAACUAAGUGGUGCUCUUGUCACAGAUGCCCACAAUACGAGAGAGUGGAAGAUCGAGUUUGCUGUGGGAUGGUCCCAGAAUUAUGCUCAAGUCACAGACCUGAGAUGACUCUUUCGGUGCUGGAUAGGAUGACCCUCUACAGUCAGCAGCAGUAUCAACAAGAUGUGUUUUCCUUUUAUGCAGAGACACUAGAAGAUGUCAAUAAAUCUUUCAGACAUGCUGCAUACAGACAAUUUACCAUCUUAAUGCAUGAGUAUAACUGUCCCAGCAUGUUGUGUUAAAUUAAUAAGGGAGAAGUUUCCUAGUCCUUAAGGCCAGUAUACAGGCUUCGUACCAGGUGAAGGCCCAGUGUUCUAAUAAUUUUGCAUAUUUAUGCCCCCCUUCGAAGAAGAGGGGGUAUAUAGUUUUGCACAUGUCGGUCCGUCCACCAGAUGGUUUCGGGAUGAUAACUUAAGAACGCUUAGGCCUAGGAUCAUGAAACUUCAUAGGUACAUUGAUCAUGACUGGCAAAUAACCCCUAUUGAUUUUCAGGUCACUAGGUCAAAGGUCAGUGACUCGAAACAGUAAAGCGGUUUCCGGAUGAUAACUCAAGAAUGCAUACGCCUAGGAUCUUGAAACUUCAUAGGUACAUUGAUCACGACUGGCAGAGGACCCCUUUAGAUUUUCCGGUCACAAGGUCAAGGUCACAGUGACUCAAAACAAUAAAAUGGUUUCCAGCUGAUAACUCAAGAAUGCUUACGCCUUUUGAUCAUGAAACUUCAUAGCUACAUUGAUAAUGACUGGCAGAUGACCCCUUUUGAUUUUCAGGUCACUAGGUCAAGGUCACAGUGACUCGAAAUAGUAAAAUGGUUUCCUGAUGAUAACUCAAGAAUAAUUAGGCCUAGGAUCAGGAAACGUUAUAGGUACAUUGAUCAUGACUGACAGAUGACCCCUAUUAAUUUUCAGGUCACUAUGUCAAAGGUCAAGGUGACUCGACACAGUAAAAUAGUUUCCGGAUGAUAACUCAAGAAAGCUUACGCCUAGGAUCAUGAAACUUCAUAAGUUCAUUGAUCACGACUCGCAGAUGACCCCUAUUGAUUUUCAGGUGACUAGGUCAAAGGUCAAUGUCACAGUGACAAAAAACGUAUUCACACAAUGGCUGCCACUACAACUGACAGCCCAUAUGGGGGGCAUGCAUGUUUUACAAACAGCCCUUGUUUAUUUUUAUUUGGAGUCAUUUUGUUUCACACUUGAUAUUUGUUAGAUUAGGUUUCUUAAAAUACAUUUUAAACAUGACAUAUGCUAAUGCAUGAUUAAACAUUUCGAAAUCAAUAAAAAAGCAACAAGUUGCUGUUGAAAUUAAAAAAAAUAGUAUCUUAUUAUUGUUUAAC